UACACAAAACUAAAAGUAAAAGCAUAGAUUUAUUUCAUCUAUGGAAAUACUAAUGAAAAUUUACUCACUAUCACUAAUGUGACGGCUGCAAUCAAGGCGAAGAUUCUUAUAGCGAUGGGUAUCGUUGUUUCCGUUCUGGACUCUUCUUUCAUAAGCAAUGCUCCAACUCCGAUAUAGAGAUCCAUAAUCUCUAUCAUCCACAACAUUCUUUGCAUAUCAAAGUAGUUGCUGAAAAUGAAGAUGUACAUGAAAAAUGCAAGCUUUGUAGAGGUAACUUGCCAAAGAUGUAUUACUAUUGUUCUACAUGUGACUUUGCUAUCGAUUUGGUAUGCGCA
This 335-nucleotide small RNA is filed under the name Arabidopsis thaliana (thale cress). RNAcentral's name for it is "putative long intergenic non-coding RNA". The record is from RNAcentral. Lineage: Eukaryota; Viridiplantae; Streptophyta; Magnoliopsida; Brassicales; Brassicaceae.